Molecule: non-coding RNA, 179 nt
Organism: Triticum urartu
Lineage: Eukaryota; Viridiplantae; Streptophyta; Magnoliopsida; Poales; Poaceae
Source: Rfam
CUAGUACUCCCUCCGUCCCAAAAUUCUUGUCUUAGAUUUGUCUAGAUACGGAUGUAUCUAACACAAAUUCUUGUCUUAGAUUUGUCUAAAUAUGGAUGUAUCUAGUUACGUUUUAGUGUUAGAUACAUCCGUAUCUAGACAAAUCUAAGACAAGAAUUUUGGGACGGAGGGAGUAGAUG